CCACGUCCACCAGCGACACCGUAGCUUCUACAGACUCUCAAGUGGCUCUUCAGUUAGGAAGUUUAAUUAAAUUAAUAGAGCAACAAAAGGCUGAAAUUCGUGGUGCUUUGCAAGAAUUACAAGAGCAACAAAAAGAGCUCCAAGAAAGAACGCUUUGGGCUAUAAAAGAUGUUAGUGACGCGGUGACUAAGCUUCGAAAAGAUAUCG
Molecule: unclassified non-coding RNA, 207 nt
Filed under: Melitaea cinxia (Glanville fritillary)
Lineage: Eukaryota; Metazoa; Arthropoda; Insecta; Lepidoptera; Nymphalidae
Description: misc RNA ENSMCXG00005008396.1
Source: RNAcentral